RNAcentral lists this ribosomal RNA (253 nucleotides) under uncultured bacterium. Its description in RNAcentral is "partial 16S ribosomal RNA". It matches the Rfam family "Bacterial small subunit ribosomal RNA", at positions 524 to 776 of the family's 1533-position model. The record is from RNAcentral.
UGCAGAGGUGGCAAGCGUUGUUCGGAAUUACUGGGCGUAAAGGGCGCGUAGGCAGCCUUCUAAGUCAGACGUGAAAUCCCUCGGCUUAACCGGGGAACUGCGUCUGAUACUGGAUGGCUUGAGUGUGGGAGAGGGAUGCGGAAUUCCAGGUGUAGCGGUGAAAUGCGUAGAUAUCUGGAGGAACACCGGUGGCGAAGGCGGCAUCCUGGACCAUUACUGACACUGAAAAGCGAAAGCCAGGGGAGCAAACGGG